AUUGAACGCUGGCGGCAGGCCUAACACAUGCAAGUCGAACGAGUGGCGGACGGGUGAGUAAUGUCUGGGAAACUGCCUGAUGGAGGGGGAUAACUACUGGAAACGGUAGCUAAUACCGCUUACCCUCAGUUGUGCCCCGAUGGGAUUAGCUAGUUGGUGGGGUAACGGCUCACCAAGCCGACCAUCCCUAGCUGGUCUGAGAGGAUGACAGGCCACACUGGAACUGAGACACGGUCCAGACUCCUACGGGAGGCAGCAGUGGGGAAGAUUGCACAAUGGGCGCAAGACUGAUGCAGCCAUGCCGCGAGUAUGAAGAAGGCCGUCGGGUUGUAAAGUACUUUCAGCGGGGAGGCGUUACCCGCAGAAGAAGCACCGGAUAACUCCGUGCCAGCCGCAGCGGUAAUAC
This 406-nucleotide ribosomal RNA is filed under the name uncultured bacterium. RNAcentral's name for it is "partial 16S ribosomal RNA". It matches the Rfam family "Bacterial small subunit ribosomal RNA", at positions 30 to 526 of the family's 1533-position model. The record is from RNAcentral.